UUCCCUAACCUUAAGGAGCUGUCAAUAAAUGAUUGCCCAAAGUUGAGAAUGGAACCAUGCCUUCCUAGAGCAAAGAAAUGGGAGAUAGAGAACAGCAAUAAUGUAUUAUCAUUAUGGGGAGAAACUCGUGCUACCUCCUCUGUUGCACCUAUGGAUGUGAGUGUAACAGUCAGAUCUGACAAAGCGCCUUUGGAUCAGUGGAAGUUCUUUCACGACCUCCCUUCCCUGAGUACUUUACACAUCAAAUGUUGCACUGAUCGGACAUGCAGCUCCAAUAUGCUAAGCCAAUUCCUGUUCAACAUCAUGUCACGGUGGUUCACAAAUUCUAAUGAUUUGUACAUAACUAAGCUGAUGAAAAGACAAGUUAUUAACGAUUUGAAACUACAGUGGACUAGAAAUGCUGGUGGUUCUGUGGAGGAUGUGGAAGUACUGGGAAAGCUUGUACCACCAAGUAGUUUGAGGGAAUUUAAUAUGACAGGUUACAGCAGUAUGAGGUUUCCUGCCUGGGUUAUGGACAUUACGCUUUAUCUCCCAAGUCUUAGCAAGAUUGAAUUGUGGGAUAUACGCAAAUGCAACAGCUUACCACCACUUGGCCAAUUAACAAACUUGCAAGAGCUAGUUAUAGGUGUAAUGGAUAGCAUUACGACAAUUGAUGGGGAUUUCUGUGGCGGUGAAAGAGCCUUCCCUGAAUUGAGGAAAUUUUGCUUAUGCCGUAUGGGAAACCUCAAGUUGUGGGAGACAAUGUACUCCUAUGACAUGGGUAGUGUGAAGAAAUUCAUGUUCCCAAACCUUGUGGAAUUGUUAAUACGUGAUUGCCCAAAUUUAAGAUUGAAACCAUGCCCACCUAGAGCUAAGAGAUGGGAAAUUGAGAGCAGCGAUAAUGUAUUAUCAUCAUGGGGAGAGAAUCUGUCAUGCAACUCAUUAGACAUAAUUGGAGACCUCUCGUUUAUCAAAUCAUUGUUGCUAGAAGAUAAUACUCAGCCAGAACAUCCGAAAUGGUUGGGUGGCCUCAGCUCUAUCCGGAAAAUGGACAUCACAAGGUGUAAAGAGCUGUCUGAUUUGCCUGGGAGCAUGCGAUAUCUGACAUCCCUCCAGGAGCUUUCUUUGAUAGAUUGUCCAAGAAUAAAAGUGCUGCCAGAAUGGUUGGGUGAUCUUACUGCUCUGAAGAAACUUCAGAUCCGGUAUUGUAGGGGUAUCAACUCUUUGCCACAGAGCAUACAGAAGCUUACCAAGCUUAAAGGACUAGCUAUUUACCACUGCCUUGAAUUGGUAGAGUGGUGUAAUUUAGAGAAGAACAAGAACAUGCUGGCUCACAUAAAAGUAAAGGUAUAUGUCCCGCCAUGCUAUCUGCCAUGUCCUACUUAUCUUGACAGUAGCCAAAUUAAACUACACGGUGAUGCAUUUUCAUCUGCAACAUCCCUACAAGUCUUGGAUUUAAGCAAGUGCCACAUAUACAAGUUGCCAGCUUGCAUCAGUGAAUUGGUGAAAUUGAGGUAUCUCAAUGCCCCCAAGAUUCAAAGUCAAACAAUCCCGUAUUGUAUCACCAAGCUCUCGAAACUAAUUUACCUCAACCUAAGUUGGUCCAGGAUGUUAGCAUUGCCUGAGUCAAUUGGUGACUUGAGAUGUUUGAUGCAUCUUGACAUCUCGAAUUGUGAAUUUAUAGAUAACCUCCCAAAAUCAUUUGUGAAUCUCAAAAGGUUGGAAUAUCUGGAUUUAUCAAACAACAGUCAGCUUAGAGGUCUAUCAAAAGCUUUGGGUGGCCUAACCAACAUCCAAUACUUGAAUUUAUCAAUGCAAAUAGGUUAUGUAUUGGGUCAAUUUCUUGAGGGGCUGCCAGAGGUCAUUGGUAAUCUAAUUGGACUCCGUUAUUUAGGUCUAUCACAUACCACACGAUCCAUCUUCUGGAAUUCGAGCUCAGAUGAACUAUUCAGUUUCAUUGACCGUAUAUGUACCCUUUCUAAUCUGCAGCAUCUGGACUUGUCUAAUAAUGAUAGUAUAGUAAGUGUUCCUGAGAGUAUUGGCAACCUCAGGAAUCUGCAUACACUGGACCUCUCUUGCUGUUCACAUCUAGUGAGGCUUCCAGAAUGUUUGGUUAGAAUGGAUAAUGUGAAGAUCUUGAAUGUCACCGGGUGCCGCAAACUGGAAAAAUCUGCACUGUCCCGAUCAAAGAUUUUUGACUUGUUGCCACAUUUCGUGGUCCAAGCUGAUGAAGGUGAAUCUAGCAGCAACAUCGGUCUUCUACAGUACGCAAAUCCUAAUGAGUUGCACAUAACUUGCCUUGAUAAUGUAAAGUCUGCAGAAGAGGUCCAGAGUAUAAAGCUGAUAGAAAAACAAGGGAUUAAUGAUUUGAAACUUCAAUGGACCAGUGAUGCUUGCAGGUCUGUUGAGGAUAUGGAAGUGAUGGCAAGUCUUGUGCCACCAAGCACCUUGAGGGAAUUUAAUAUGACAGGCUACAAUAAUGUGAGCUUUCCGCCCUGGCUUAUGAACAUAAAGCUUUAUCUACCGGAACUUAGCAAGAUUGAACUGUGGCAUAUAUGUAAAUGCAACAGCUUGCCUGCAUUAGGUCAAUUACAAAACCUUAGAGAGCUAAUUAUUGGAGAAAUGGACAGCAUUACGAUCAUCGAAGAGGAUUUUUGUGGUGGUGCAAGGGCCUUCCCUCAGCUGAAGAGAUUUUGUCUAUACCACAUGGAAAAUCUGGAAGCAUGGAAGACGAUGUACUCCAAUGGCAAGGAUGUUGAGAAAGAAUUCAUGUUCCCUAACCUUAAGGAGCUGUCAAUAAAUGAUUGCCCAAAGUUGAGAAUGGAACCAUGCCUUCCUAGAGCAAAGAAAUGGGAGAUAGAGAACAGCAAUAAUGUAUUAUCAUUAUGGGGAGAAACUCGUGCUACCUCCUCUGUUGCACCUAUGGAUGUGAGUGUAACAGUCAGAUCUGACAAAGCGCCUUUGGAUCAGUGGAAGUUCUUUCACGACCUCCCUUCCCUGAGUACUUUACACAUCACAUGUUGCACUGAUCCGACAUGCAGCUCCAAUAUGCUAAGCCAAUUCCUGUUCAACAUCAUGUCACGGUGGUACACAAAUUCUAAUGAUUUGUACAUAACUAAUCUGAUG
Molecule: long non-coding RNA, 3105 nt
Filed under: Setaria italica (foxtail millet)
Lineage: Eukaryota; Viridiplantae; Streptophyta; Magnoliopsida; Poales; Poaceae
Description: long non-coding RNA (SITA_LNC002729)
Source: RNAcentral